AACUAACGCUGGCGGCGCGUAUUAAGCAUGCAAGUCGAAACGGUGAAAGUUUCUUCGGAGGCUUUGAGAGUGGCGAACGGGUGAGUAACACGUAGGUGAUCUACCUCUGGACGGGGGAUAGUCCAUGGAAACAUGGGGUAAUACCGCAUGAGGUCCAGGUGCCUUCGGGCACAUCGGAUAAAAGGAGCAAUUGUUCCGCCUGGGGAUGAGCCUGCGGUCCAUUAGCUAGUUGGUGUGGUAAGAGCGCACCAAGGCGACGAUGGGUAGCCGGCCUGAGAGGGUGAACGGUCACACUGGGACUGAGACACGGCCCAGACUCCUACGGGAGGCAGCAGCUAAGAAUCUUCCGCAAUGGGGGAAACCCUGACGGAGCGACGCCGCGUGGGCGAAGAAGGCCGCAAGGUUGUAAAGCCCUUUUCUUGACGAAGAAUAAACGUGGGAGUGGAAUGCCCGCGUGAUGACGUUAGUCGAGGAACAAGCCCCGGCCAAUUACGUG
Molecule: ribosomal RNA, 496 nt
Filed under: uncultured bacterium
Lineage: Bacteria
Description: bacterial SSU rRNA
Rfam family: Bacterial small subunit ribosomal RNA
Source: RNAcentral